UGAGUGGCGAACGGGUGAGUAACACGUGAGUAACCUGCCCUCUUCUUUGGGAUAACGCCCGGAAACGGGUGCUAAUGCUGGAUAUUCACUGGCCUUCGCAUGGGGGUUGGUGGAAAGGUUUGUUCUGGUGGGGGAUGGGCUCGCGGCCUAUCAGCUUGUUGGUGGGGUGAUGGCCUACCAAGGCUUUGACGGGUAGCCGGCCUGAGAGGGUGACCGGUCACAUUGGGACUGAGAUACGGCCCAG
RNAcentral lists this ribosomal RNA (244 nucleotides) under uncultured bacterium. RNAcentral describes it as "partial 16S ribosomal RNA". It matches the Rfam family "Bacterial small subunit ribosomal RNA", at positions 92 to 334 of the family's 1533-position model. The record is from RNAcentral.